GACGAACGCUGGCGGCGUGCCUAAUACAUGCAAGUUGAGCGCUGAAGGUUGGUACUUGUACCAACUGGAUGAGCAGCGAACGGGUGAGUAACGCGUGGGGAAUCUGCCUUUGAGCGGGGGACAACAUUUGGAAACGAAUGCUAAUACCGCAUAAAAACUUUAAACACAAGUUUUAAGUUUGAAAGAUGCAAUUGCAUCACUCAAAGAUGAUCCCGCGUUGUAUUAGCUAGUUGGUGAGGUAAAGGCUCGCCAAGGCGAUGAUACAUAGCCGACCUGAGAGGGUGAUCGGCCACAUUGGGACUGGGACACGGCCCAAACUCCUACGGGAGGCAGCAGUAGGGAAUCUUCGGCAAUGGACGAAAGUCUGACCGAGCAACGCCGCGUGAGUGAAGAAGGUUUUCGGAUCGUAAAACUCUGUUGGUAGAGAAGAACGUUGGUGAGAGUGGAAAGCUCAUCAAGUGACGGUAACUACCCAGAAAGGGACGGCUAACUACGUG
Molecule: ribosomal RNA, 497 nt
Filed under: uncultured bacterium
Lineage: Bacteria
Description: partial 16S ribosomal RNA
Rfam family: Bacterial small subunit ribosomal RNA
Source: RNAcentral